Oryza sativa Indica Group (long-grained rice) is the source of this 205-nucleotide microRNA precursor. It matches the Rfam family "MIR812 microRNA precursor family". The record is from Rfam. NCBI's taxonomy places the organism in Eukaryota, Viridiplantae, Streptophyta, Magnoliopsida, Poales, Poaceae.
UCUAAAAAUACCCUGAUUUCUGUUUCUAACAUUUAACUGUCCGUUUUAUUUAAAAAAAUUAUAAAAAAAAGUAAAAAGACAAGUCGCGUAUAAAAUAUUAAUCAUAUUUUAUCAUCUAACAACAAUAAAAAUAUGAAUUAUAAAAAAAAUUUUAUAUAAGACGGACAGUCAAAAUUGGACACGGAAAUUCAGGGUUUUACUUUUU